Long non-coding RNA from Camelus dromedarius (Arabian camel), 496 nucleotides. RefSeq lists it as uncharacterized. NCBI's taxonomy places the organism in Eukaryota, Metazoa, Chordata, Mammalia, Artiodactyla, Camelidae. The record is from RefSeq and is a predicted model, not a curated record. The transcript is spliced from 2 exons.
UCCUCAUAACAAGUCUAACUGGCUCUGGAAAGCAGAAAGGGCUGCAGUAGAGCAACAAGGAUGAGAUAUUCCACACAACAACCUGCUUGUCUGGAAUCACUUUCCCUUGCAAGGCCAGAGAAAAAUCCCAGCUUCGUUGUCUGAGAGAAGCAGGACAGAGGAGCUGCAGAAAUGCGACUUCACCUGGAGUCUUUUAUGGUCUGCAGUCCCAGCCAUGUUGGCAUUACAGGACCGAGUUGCCCCUGGGACCCGAAGGGCAACUAUCGCUGCAGAAACCCCAGUGCUGCUGCCUACAGUGACCGUUUGAGAACCAAAACUUUGGAAGAAACCAGGUCGUUAAAACUGUUAUUCUCUCUUCUCAACGAUAACGCGGCUUAUCUAGUCUGAAACAGAAAGUACACCCUUAAGGUAACAUUGUCACUGAAUCCCCAACACCCAGAACUCCCUGUUUCUCAUUCCUUGAAUAAAAUUACAUUAAAAUCCCUUUGAACUCCCA